This 214-nucleotide non-coding RNA is filed under the name Ctenophora environmental sample. Lineage: Eukaryota; Metazoa; Ctenophora. The record is from RNAcentral.
CCCCUUCCCCAUCCCAAACAAAAAGAGAAGAAAAAAAACAAACGCACGUGGUGAGAAGAGAGAUGAAGUGGAGAGGUCGGAAACGAAUAUAUAUAAGAGAGAAAGAGAGAGAGAGAAAAGAACACUUGUCAAACCCAAUAUAUCUUUGGAAACUCCCAAUCUGUUCUCAUGAUGCGGAACCACGUUCUCUCCACACAGAUCCACACGCCCUUUC